AAUGGUUUCGACGGGGGCAAGUUGCUCCUGGGAAGCGAGUCGAAGGGAUCCUGUACCUGCGUUAAAAAACUGGGAAUUUAAAUAUAAUUGCAAACGAUAAUUUUGCAUUAGCUGCCUAAUAGUUGCAGCUCGUCAGCCUAAGAGUCCCACGACUUAGGGUCUGGCGUCGACAGUGGGGAACCGAGCCUUACAAAGCUUUGAGUAAGGAACGGAAUUAAUGAAGCUACUGAAUCUAAGAGCCUGUUUAUCGGCGCUUAGAGGAGGGAAUGUAAAAGGAUAAACUGCACUCGGAGAUGCCCAGGGGUUGCUGCUUUCGGACAGGGGUUCGAUUCA
Molecule: transfer-messenger RNA, 333 nt
Filed under: Clostridium botulinum
Lineage: Bacteria; Bacillati; Bacillota; Clostridia; Eubacteriales; Clostridiaceae
Also listed under: 1 other name
Rfam family: transfer-messenger RNA
About the family: Bacterial tmRNA, also known as 10Sa RNA or SsrA, is named for its dual tRNA and mRNA-like properties.
Source: RNAcentral